CCUACGGGUGGCAGCAGUGAGGAAUAUUGGUCAAUGGCCGGAAGGCUGAACCAGCCAUGCCGCGUGAAGGUCAGUGCCCUAUGGGCGUUAAACUUCUUUUGACAGGGAAGAGCAGAAGACGGUACCUGUCGAAUAAGCCACGGCUAACUACGUGCCAGCAGCCGCGGUAAUACGUAGGUGGCAAGCGUUGUCCGGAUUUACUGGGUGUAAAGGGCGUGUAGCCGGGCUGACAAGUCAGAUGUGAAAUCCGGGGGCUCAACCCCCGAACUGCAUUUGAAACUGUUGGUCUUGAGUAUCGGAGAGGCAGGCGGAAUUCCUAGUGUAGCGGUGAAAUGCGUAGAUAUUAGGAGGAACACCAGUGGCGAAGGCGGCCUGCUGGACGACAACUGACGGUGAGGCGCGAAAGCGUGGGGAGCAAACAGGAUUAGAUACCCUAGUAGUC
RNAcentral lists this ribosomal RNA (442 nucleotides) under uncultured bacterium. Its description in RNAcentral is "partial 16S ribosomal RNA". It matches the Rfam family "Bacterial small subunit ribosomal RNA", at positions 338 to 795 of the family's 1533-position model. The record is from RNAcentral.